GUAUAACUUAGUGGCAGACGGGUGAGUAAUGUAUAGGAAUCUACCUAGUAGUACGGAAUAAUUGUUGGAAACGGCAACUAAUACCGUAUACACCCUACGGGGGAAAGAUUUAUUGCUAUUAGAUGAGCCUAUAUUAGAUUAGCUAGUUGGUGGAGUAAUAGCCUACCAAGGCAAUGAUCUAUAGCUGAUCUGAGAGGAUGAUCAGCCACACUGGAACUGAGAUACGGUCCAGACUCCUACGGGAGGCAGCAGUGGGGAAUAUUGGACAAUGGGCGAAAGCCUGAUCCAGCCAUGCCGCAUGAGUGAAGAAGGCCUUUGGGUUGUAAAGCUCUUUUAGUGAGGAAGAUAAUGACGGUACUCACAGAAGAAGUCCUGGCUAACUCCGUGCCAGCAGCCGCGGUAAUACGGAGAGGGCUAGCGUUAUUCGGAAUUAUUGGGCGUAAAGGGCGCGUAGGCUGGUUAAUAAGUUAAAAGUGAAAUCCCGAGGCUUAACCUUGGAAUUGCUUUUAAAACUAUUAAUCUAGAGAUUGAAAGAGGAUAGAGGAAUUCCUGAUGUAGAGGUAAAAUUCGUAAAUAUUAGGAGGAACACCAGUGGCGAAGGCGUCUAUCUGGUUCAAAUCUGACGCUGAAGCGCGAAGGCGUGGGGAGCAAACAGGAUUAGAUACCCUGGUAGUCCACGCUGUAAACGAUGAAUGUUAAAUAUGGGAAGUUUACUUUCUGUAUUACAGCUAACGCGUUAAACAUUCCGCCUGGGGACUACGGUCGCAAGAUUAAAACUCAAAGGAAUUGACGGGGACCCGCACAAGCGGUGGAGCAUGUGGUUUAAUUCGAUGCAACGCGAAAA
RNAcentral lists this ribosomal RNA (844 nucleotides) under Wolbachia sp. Sru. RNAcentral describes it as "bacterial SSU rRNA". It matches the Rfam family "Bacterial small subunit ribosomal RNA", at positions 85 to 967 of the family's 1533-position model. The record is from RNAcentral. Lineage: Bacteria; Pseudomonadati; Pseudomonadota; Alphaproteobacteria; Rickettsiales; Anaplasmataceae.